UGCGUAGGUGGCGCUGUAAGUGGGGUGUGAAAUCCCGGGGCUUAACUCCGGAACUGCAUUCCAUACUGCGGUGCUUGAGGACUGGAGAGGAGACUGGAAUUUACGGUGUAGCAGUGAAAUGCGUAGAGAUCGUAAGGAAGACCAGUGGCGAAGGCGGGUCUCUGGACAGUUCCUGACACUGAGGCACGAAGGCCAGGGAAGGCAAACG
This 208-nucleotide ribosomal RNA is filed under the name uncultured bacterium. RNAcentral describes it as "partial 16S ribosomal RNA". It matches the Rfam family "Bacterial small subunit ribosomal RNA", at positions 568 to 775 of the family's 1533-position model. The record is from RNAcentral.